ACACACAGACACACACACACACACACACACACACACACACACAAACCCAAAAAACCUCCCUAGAUGAAUAACAAUUACCUGCCUUCUAUAAUCAUGCAUAUAUUGUUACAAUGAAUGUUGUAAAGUUGGUUACGUGAUGUUCAUGUUUUUAAACUGAGUUAUUGUCAUUUUCACUAAGAUUCUGUCACAGUAAUCUCUGAAAGGGUUUAAUUGAAAAGAUUUUCUUUCUCUGUUUACUCAUUUACUCAUUCAUUCAUAUAAAAAAUUUUAAAAAUUGCCUAAAAUGUCAAUCAUUGGCUAGACCCAAUAACCAAAAGCCAGUAACUGCCCUCAAGAAUUUUACAAUCUAGUGAGGAAGAUAUGUUUAGACAGGUCAUUAAAAAAACAAAACCUAGCACCAAGUUAUGUAGAACUCAGAGAAACAAUUGAUUGAAAUUAAUCAGUUUUUUGAAUUUCAAAGGAUGAAAUGAUUUGGGACAAAGUGGGGUAAGGUGUUCCAGGAGAAAGAAAUAAAAAAAUAAAGACUCAGAGGCAAAAAGACUCAGAGGCAGGUUCGGGGGUGGGGAUUGGUAAUGGGUAAAGCUUCUUACCCUGCAGGACAGGGGGCAAAGACAGUGAGAUGCAUUAGGGGACUUUGAGGUUUGUCAUUUAGAGCACUGGAUGAAUGUUAAUUUCAUUGACUGAAAUUGAAAGCAGGAGGAGGGCAGGUUGGGAAUGGAGGAGAUAAUGAGUCUUUAUGGGAUUUGCUUGCAGUACAUGCAGAGAGAGAGAGGCAGCCUUAGCUCAUAAAAAUGCAUUGGGAAUUGAAAAUAUACGUUUGGAAAUUGAGGUAAUCACUGAUAGCUGAAGCCCAAAAGGUGGAUAAGGAUGAGUUCCUCUGAAGAAUAUUUAAAGGGUAGACAAAGAGGAGGUUGUGAAGGUGCCUAAGAACAAGCAAUUAAGAGAAAAAGGAGAUGAAGAAAGAGAUGGCCUGGAAGCCCAGAGAGUUUUAAUCAUGUAACAUUCGUAGUUACAAAGUUCCGUUGUGUGCCAGGCACUAUGCUGUUUACUAGAGAUGCAAAUGAAUAACACAUAGGAGCUUAUAAAGGAAUGGAGAAAAACAGAGAUAUGCAAACAGAUCAACUAAAGUGUGUGCGUGUGUGUGUGUGUGUGUGUGUGUGAGAGAGAGGGAGAGAGAGAGAGAGAGUGGGCGAUCCGUGAUCCAUGCAGGAUAGAGGAUCAUUUCAAGAGAGUGCUGCAGAGCAGUCCCAGAGGAUUUGGAAUGAAAAGAAGCUACUGAAUUGAAGGUCUAGGAGGUCAUUGGUAAUCUUGGCAAGAGAAGUCAUCAUAAAAGAUAGUGACAAAGUGAGAUGAAAAGUGACAAAGUAAGUGAAAAGAUGAUAGUGAAAAGUACGAUAGUGACAAAGUAAGGUGGGUAAAUAAAAAUUAUAUUUUUCUGACUUUUUUGUCAGUGAAUGAAAAGAGAGAGAGAGAAUGGUGACCAGAGGAGGACAGUUCAAGCUUUUCCAAUAACAUUCAGAAACUAUCCAAUAUUUAUUGAGUGUCUAUUAGGUGCCAAGCACCUUAAUAGGUCCUGUGGAUCUGAGAUGCAGUCCCUGUCUUAGAUCUCAUGGUCUACUGGAGGACACAGAGAAGUAAGCAGGCAGUUGCAGUACAAUGUAACACUGAGUGCUCUCUGUGUGUGAUGGUGAAUGGAGGCUGCUGUGGGAAACUAUAAAAGCAUCUAACAGGGAUAAGUAGUAGGUUUAUGGAAUGCUUUCUGGGGUAAUUGAAGCCUGAAUUCAGGCCUUUGAGCUGAGGCCUGAAUAAUGAGCAUGGGUGGGGAACAGUUUCCAGGAAGGAGGUAGUGCCUGUGCAGAGGCUCAGAGGAAAGGAGACCAUGUUGCAGAGGGAACUGAAAUUAGUUCUGUCUGGCUGCAACUUAGAGUCGGGUACAGUGACAGGGGUUAACAAAGAGCCAUUGAAGUUUUAAAGCAGAGGAAUGAUAUAUUCAGAUUUGCAUUUUAUAAAACUCUUCUACUUUAUAAAAUGGAAGAUAGGAGACAGUCUGUUACUCUUUUUUAGACUCACGGUUUAUUAUUAAACACCUGAUAGGAGUCAUAGGCAAGGCAGGAAACAGAUAUCAUGUUCAAUGUGUUUAAAUGAGGAAAGUUUAAUGAAAGGACUCUUCACAGAGUUGACAGGGUAAGGGACCCACAGUCUGGUGAGAAGCUGAAAGGAAGAAGGGUACAUAUCCUGAUUUCUCUCACCUCCUACUUUCUGAUCUCUUGGUGGUGCCUCCCGUGAUCCAAAAACCAAGCAAGGCCAGAGGGUAGAGGGGCCCAAAACAUGCUGUUCAUAGAGGACAGACUCCUGGGGCACAAAGUAGGGCACUGAAAGGUAGAGAAUGGAUGGAGGUAAGGGGACGGAAAGCCACCAGCACACAAAUGAUACAGGCAGGGUUCACUGUAGGAAGCUGAAACCACUCUGGAUAUUUAAAAACAAAAAAACAAAAAACAAAGGGCUUUCAUCCAAGCAAUUCACUGCUUCUGAAAUCUGUGGAAGGACUGGAGAAGUUGAGGUCAGCAGGCUGUUGAAUUCAAAGUCACAUGCUUUGUGGUGAACAUUACUAGUAUUCACUAGUAUCUGGUCCUCCUUGACUUCUGAGUAUAUGGGAGUUUACAGUUCCUAGUUCCCUUGCAGUUAGGUGGGGCCUUGUGAUGAGUUCUAGCCAAUAAAAUGCGAGAAGUGACGUGUCACUUCCAGGAUGAGACAGUGAAAAGCCUUUGGGCAGUUCUCUAGACUUCCUCUUCCCUGCCGCAAUAGUUAUAGAGGAGACCUUGGGUUAAGAUGUAGCAACCACAAGAUUGAAACAGCCCAAAUCUCUUAAGUCAGCACAUGGAGAGCAGCUGCCCACACCUGCAGGAAGCAUUUUGUCUCUGGAUGUUGACGUCAAGGAUGAUGCUGGACGCCAGAUGUGGAAGAUGGAGAAGCCUCUACCUGCCUGGGUCUCUACUGGCAAUUUAUAACCAGGAAAUCGGUCUGCGAGCCAUAGUGAUCAACUGGUAACAUCAGCUUUGAAAAUUUCCAAGGCCAACGUCAUCUCAGUUAUGAGGUAUGGUACUUUGGGGAAUCUAUUGGAUGUUUGUUUACGUACU
Long non-coding RNA from Cercocebus atys (sooty mangabey), 3137 nucleotides. RefSeq lists it as uncharacterized. The record is from RefSeq and is a predicted model, not a curated record. The transcript is spliced from 3 exons. NCBI's taxonomy places the organism in Eukaryota, Metazoa, Chordata, Mammalia, Primates, Cercopithecidae.